ACGACUCUCGACAACGGAUAUCCCGGCUCUCGCAUCGAUGAAGAACGUAGCGAAAUGCGAUACUUGGUGUGAAUUGCAGAAUCCCGUGAACCAUCGAGUCUUUGAACGCAAGUUGCGCCCGAAGCCACUAGGCUAAGGGCACGUCUGCCUGGGUGUCACGC
Molecule: ribosomal RNA, 161 nt
Filed under: Hyalolaena lipskyi
Lineage: Eukaryota; Viridiplantae; Streptophyta; Magnoliopsida; Apiales; Apiaceae
Also listed under: 1 other name
Description: 5.8S ribosomal RNA
Rfam family: 5.8S ribosomal RNA
About the family: 5.8S ribosomal RNA (5.8S rRNA) is a component of the large subunit of the eukaryotic ribosome.
Source: RNAcentral